CCACAUUUGAUCCCCCUCCCUCCCCCACAUAUGGCACCCCAGCUCCCGCUGCCUCCCCUACUCCUCUCCCCGUCCCGUCGCCGCCUCCUCACCCGCCGCCGCCGCCGACGCACUGCAGCACCAGCAGCAUCCUGACCGCGGGUUGGUGACGCCGAGCGCCGUGCAGCAUGGACAUCGACCCUUCCUCCGUCUCCCACGCAGACGGCGGGGGCGACCUGUGGCCGUUCGACUCGCUCACCACGUCCCUCUUCUUCUCCUCCGUCUCCUCCUCCCCGCCGCUCCACCCGCUGCCCGUCGCCUCCUCCUCCUGGCUCACGCCGCCGUCUCCGCUCUGGCUCUUCGAGGACCGCCAGAUGAUGCCGAUCGAGGUGGGCCCUGCGCCCGCCGCGGCGCCGGACAACACCGCCGCCGUCCCAGAGGAGACCCAGCGAGCACGUUCCGGGAAUUCGGACACGCCAAUUAAGAAGACCGAACGUCUUAACAACAAAUGGCAAUUUAACCUAGCUCUGCAUGACGAUAGCACAAACAGCUCAUGCUUGUUCAAGGAGAAGCUGACUCAUGCUCUCAGGUACUUCAAGGAGUCAACAGAUCAACACCUGUUGGUCCAGGUUUGGGCGCCGGUUAAGAGUGGCGAUCGCUAUGUGCUUACUACAUCAGGACAACCCUUUGUACUUGACCACCAGAGCAUUGGGCUGCUUCAGUACAGAGCUGUAUCCAUGAUGUACAUGUUCUCAGUAGAUGGAGAUAAUGCUGGGGAGCUUGGGUUACCUGGACGCGUCUACAAGCAAAAAGUGCCCGAGUGGACACCAAAUGUGCAGUAUUAUAGCAGCACUGAGUACCCACGGCUUAACCAUGCCAUCAGUUACAAUGUUCAUGGUACCGUUGCCUUGCCUGUUUUUGAUCCUUCUGUUCAAUCAUGUAUUGCUGUCGUUGAGCUUAUAAUGACAUCGAAGAAGAUAAACUAUGCUGAUGAGGUUGAUAAAGUCUGCAAAGCUCUUGAGGCAGUAAAUCUUAAAAGCACUGAGAUAUUGGAGCAUCCAAACGUCCAGAUUUGCAAUGAAGGCCGUCAAUCUGCCCUGGUGGAGAUACUGGAGAUCCUGACAGUUGUAUGUGAAGAGCACAAGCUUCCAUUAGCACAAACAUGGGUUCCUUGCAAAUAUCGAAGUGUGUUGGCGCAUGGUGGUGGUGUUAAGAAAAGUUGCUUGAGCUUUGAUGGAAGUUGCAUGGGGGAAGUCUGCAUGUCAACCAGUGAUGUGGCAUUUCAUGUGAUUGAUGCUCAUAUGUGGGGAUUCCGAGAUGCCUGUGUAGAACAUCAUCUACAGAAGGGGCAGGGAGUUUCUGGCAAGGCGUUUAUCUAUCACAGACCUUGCUUUUCAAAAGAUAUCAGUCAGUUUUGUAAGCUGGAGUACCCCCUUGUGCACUAUGCUCGUAUGUUUGGAUUGGCUGGCUGCUUUGCUAUAUGUUUACAAAGUCCUUAUACUGGCGAUGAUUAUUAUAUGCUAGAGUUUUUCCUGCCACCCAGUUGUAAAGAGGAAGAUGAUCAAAAUGCCUUGUUGGAGUCUAUAUUAGGUCUGAUCAAUCAGUGUCUCCGUAACCUAAAGGUAGCUGGUAACGGAGAAUCCAAUGAAGCUUCUCUUCAACUUAGUAAUGUCAUAAUGAUUGAAAGUGAAGAUUUCAAGACAAAUGUGCAUUUUGAGAACUCUGAAGGUUUUCGUGAAUCACCCGAAGGUGAUACACAUGGAGGAGCCCAUGAGUUCGAUAAAGCGAAUAGUAAAGUAUCAGAGGGACAUUUAUUGGCUGAUGAUAACUCUCAGAACAAUGGCGUAUCUGUCUCCAGGCCAAAUGGUAGCGCGGCUUCUGAUUCUUCAUUGCUUCACAAAAAUGGCAAACCCCCUGAAAGGAGACGGGGGAAAGCUGAAAAAACAAUCAGCUUAGAAGUUCUUCAGCAAUAUUUUUCUGGAAGUCUGAAAAAUGCAGCAAAAAGCCUCGGUGUGUGCCCCACAACCAUGAAGCGCAUCUGCAGGCAACAUGGGAUUUCUCGUUGGCCAUCCCGAAAAAUUAACAAGGUCAACCGGUCUCUCUCGAAGUUAAAGCAAGUAAUUGAGUCUGUUCAAGGAUCAGACGCGGCAUUUAACCUGACAUCUAUCACAGGCCCUCUCCCUACUAUUCCUGUUGGUCCUUCAUCAGAUUCUUUCAAUAAAGAGAAAGCAAGUGAAAGUAAAGCAGAACAUUCAAAUCGUGCUGUUGAUGGUGACAGAGAUUCAUCUUUACAGAAGCCACAAGAAAAUGGUAGCCACUUUGGUGCACUCAUGUCCCAGCAAGGAUUUGCAGACACUGGAAACAAUGUUCAACUUGAAGCAGACAAAGCUUCUCUCUCGAGAAGCUCAUCAGGAGAAGGCAGCAUAAAUUCACGUACUUCGGAGGGCUCAUGUCAGGGAAGUCCCGCAAACCAGACGUUUGUUUGCCAGCCUAUUGCUUCAAUGUUCUUGGAACCACAAGAACCACAACUGAAUCCGGAAGGGUUCACAAAAGAACCUUUCCAAGAACCAGAGCUACCACUUUCCAGGAUGCUCAUAGAGGAUUCUGGUAGUUCCAAGGAUUUGAAGAAUCUCUUUGGUUCAGCAAUUGGCCAACCAAUGCUAGCCCCUCCCAGCAAUUUUGGGCCAAUGCGAAAUUCCGGGACUGUGACGAUAAAGGCGAGCUUUAAGGAAGACAUUGUAAGGUUCCGUUUCCCAUGUUCUAGCAGCGUUAUGGCAUUGAAAGAUGAGGUUGCCAAAAGGCUGAGGAUGGAUGCUGGCAUGUUUGAUAUCAAGUACCUUGAUGAUGAUCACGAGUGGGUGAAGUUGGCGUGCAAUGCGGACUUGGAAGAAUGUAUAGAAAUCUCCCGGCAUUCUGGUACCCAUGUCAUCAGGCUCUUGGUUACCGACGUUGCGGCCCACAUUGGUAGUUCUUGUGGAAGCUCCGGUUGAUGCCCAGAUCAGCAUUUUUAACCUUUUUCUUUUUCAAUGGGUAUGUACAAGUUGUUCCAGGAGGUCAGUUUUUACAUGUUGUUAAGCUAGUUGUGUUGCUAGAUAGCAUUAGCAGCUUUACCGUGUUCGACUAAAGCACCAAUUUUUUUCUUGUACGAAUAUGUGUAGCCGCUGCAAGAUGCGCGUGUUGUCGAUGCUGUACAUAUUUAGCACGUGGUGCUGGAAGUCCUGGGGGUACAGUUAAAAACCGAAGCCGUUGUAAUAUGACACUUUUGUUGUCCAGAAAUUGAACAGUUUUGGAAGUUAGUUCCUUCUAUUCACUUUCAGUUCC
This 3300-nucleotide ribosomal RNA is filed under the name Triticum aestivum (bread wheat). RNAcentral describes it as "partial small subunit ribosomal RNA". Lineage: Eukaryota; Viridiplantae; Streptophyta; Magnoliopsida; Poales; Poaceae. The record is from RNAcentral.